RNAcentral lists this ribosomal RNA (376 nucleotides) under uncultured soil bacterium. RNAcentral's name for it is "bacterial SSU rRNA". It matches the Rfam family "Bacterial small subunit ribosomal RNA", at positions 26 to 429 of the family's 1533-position model. The record is from RNAcentral.
AGAACGAACGCUGGCGGCAUGCCUAAUACAUGCAAGUCGAACGAACUCUUCGGAGUUAGUGGCGCACGGGUGCGUAACGCGUGGGAAUCUGCCCCUUGGUUCGGAAUAACAGUUGGAAACGACUGCUAAUACCGGAUGAUGACGAAAGUCCAAAGAUUUAUCGCCCAGGGAUGAGCCCGCGUAGGAUUAGCUAGUUGGUGAGGUAAAGGCUCACCAAGGCGACGAUCCUUAGCUGGUCUGAGAGGAUGAUCAGCCACACUGGGACUGAGACACGGCCCAGACUCCUACGGGAGGCAGCAGUAGGGAAUAUUGGACAAUGGGACGAAAGCCUGAUCCAGCAAUGCCGCGUGAGUGAUGAAGGCCUUAGGGUUGACAA